This 439-nucleotide ribosomal RNA is filed under the name uncultured bacterium. RNAcentral describes it as "partial 16S ribosomal RNA". It matches the Rfam family "Bacterial small subunit ribosomal RNA", at positions 339 to 795 of the family's 1533-position model. The record is from RNAcentral.
CUACGGGAUGCUCCAGUGAGGAAUAUUGCACAAUGGGGGGAACCCUGAUGCAGCAACGCCGCGUGGAGGAUGACGCAUUUCGGUGUGUAAACUCCUUUUAUAUGUCAAGAAAAUGACGGUAGCAUAUGAAUAAGCACCGGCUAACUCCGUGCCAGCAGCCGCGGUAAUACGGAGGGUGCAAGCGUUACUCGGAAUCACUGGGCGUAAAGGACGCGUAGGCGGGUUGGAAAGUCAGGUGUGAAAUCCUACAGCUUAACUAUAGAACUGCACUUGAAACUUCUAAUCUAGAGUAUGGGAGGGGGAGAUGGAAUUAGUGGUGUAGGGGUAAAAUCCGUAGAUAUCACUAGGAAUACCUAAAGCGAAGGCGAUCUCCUGGAACAUUACUGACGCUAAGGCGUGAAAGCGUGGGGAGCAAACAGGAUUAGAUACCCGGGUAGUC